GUCCUAGCUGUAAACGAUGCACAUUAGACGUGAGGGUAUCGACCCCUUCGUGUCGACGCAAACGCAUUAAAUGUGCCGCCUGGGGAGUACGGCCGCAAGGUUGAAACUCAAAGGAAUUGACGGGGCCCGCACAAGCGGUGGAGCAUGUGGUUUUCAAUUCGACGCAACGCGAAGAACCUUACCUGGGUUUGAACUACUAGAAGUAAAACUGAUGAAAGUCGGGAUGACCUGUAAAGUCAGGAGCUAGCAGAGGUGCUGCAUGGCUGUCGU
RNAcentral lists this ribosomal RNA (270 nucleotides) under uncultured bacterium. RNAcentral describes it as "partial 16S ribosomal RNA". It matches the Rfam family "Bacterial small subunit ribosomal RNA", at positions 793 to 1055 of the family's 1533-position model. The record is from RNAcentral.